This 498-nucleotide ribosomal RNA is filed under the name uncultured bacterium. Its description in RNAcentral is "bacterial SSU rRNA". It matches the Rfam family "Bacterial small subunit ribosomal RNA", at positions 30 to 524 of the family's 1533-position model. The record is from RNAcentral.
AUUGAACGCUGGCGGCAUGCCUUACACAUGCAAGUCGAACGGCAGCGCGGGGCAACCUGGCGGCGAGUGGCGAACGGGUGAGUAAUAUAUCGGAACAUACCCUAGAGUGGGGGAUAACGUAGCGAAAGUUACGCUAAUACCGCAUACGCACUAAGGUGGAAAGUGGGGGAUCUUCGGACCUCAUGCUCAUGGAGUGGCCGAUAUCUGAUUAGCUAGUUGGUGAGGUAAAGGCUCACCAAGGCGACGAUCAGUAGCUGGUUUGAGAGAACGACCAGCCACACUGGAACUGAGACACGGUCCAGACUCCUACGGGAGGCAGCAGUGGGGAAUAUUGGACAAUGGGCGAAAGCCUGAUCCAGCAAUGCCGCGUGAGUGAUGAAGGCCUUAGGGUUGUAAAGCACUUUUGUUGGGGAAGAAAGCCGCUGGUUAAUACCCGGUGGUCAUGACGGUACCCAAAGAAUAAGCACCGGCUAACUUCGUGCCAGCAGCCGCGGUAAU